Long non-coding RNA from Cicer arietinum (chickpea), 619 nucleotides. RefSeq lists it as uncharacterized. The record is from RefSeq and is a predicted model, not a curated record. NCBI's taxonomy places the organism in Eukaryota, Viridiplantae, Streptophyta, Magnoliopsida, Fabales, Fabaceae.
UUUCUAUAAAAAAAGUAGAAAACCUGCGAAACGACGGAGUGGUUGGUAUUGAAGAAAAGAGAAACUUCCAGUGACUGCGGAACCACCGAUGCCGGUGAUGUAAAUGGAAAGCUCGCUAUUGUGCAGGGAAUCAGUGGCGGAAGAACAAAAGCCCGUGCGGUGAUCAAAGCAGAAAAGGAAGAAACAGAAAUAAAAGCUCUCAACAGUCAACAAGACAAAGAAUGUAAGAAUGUUGGAUCGAUUAGCGUGCGCAAGAAGAAGAGUAAUUAACGUGAAUACAAUAAUAGAGGCACAACACAGGCUUCCGAGAAAAAGGUUAGAUACCUAUAACAUCAAAGCAGAAGGAGUUAUUACCAUGUGAUUAAGAGAUGAAAGGUUGCAGUUGCAAAAUAAGUCUCUUGGAGGUUGAAAAUGUAGAAAGGUAACAUUGCCUACAAUAACAGACUUGCUAUAUGUUUGACCUUUUACUAGACUCUCUUAUCAUGGUAGCUAAUUGCUCUUCUUUAGUCUUGUUCACAUCUCCACCUUUGUCAUCAACUUUUGUAUAACUCAAUUUUCUUUUGUACUUAAGCAGAACCUAUUGAGUUCUAUAGUGCUUUACUGUCGAGAUAUUACCUAA